Molecule: microRNA precursor, 203 nt
Organism: Oryza sativa Japonica Group (Japanese rice)
Lineage: Eukaryota; Viridiplantae; Streptophyta; Magnoliopsida; Poales; Poaceae
Rfam family: MIR812 microRNA precursor family
Source: Rfam
UUUUAACGCAACCAUGAGUUUUCGUUUCCAACUUUGAUCUUCCGUCUUAUUUGAUUUUUAUUUUAUUUUUUUAUGAUUAGUUUUUUUAUUUUUAUUAGAUGAUAAAAUAUUAAUAUUAUUUUAUGCGCGACUUACAUUUUUUAUUUUUUUUAAAUAAGAUGGACAAUUAAAGUUGGACAUGUAAACUCAUGAUUGUAUUUAAA